This 446-nucleotide ribosomal RNA is filed under the name uncultured bacterium. RNAcentral describes it as "partial 16S ribosomal RNA". It matches the Rfam family "Bacterial small subunit ribosomal RNA", at positions 338 to 795 of the family's 1533-position model. The record is from RNAcentral.
CCUACGGGAGGCAGCAGUCGAGAAUCAUUCACAAUGGGGGAAACCCUGAUGGUGCGACGCCGCGUGGGGGAAUGAAGGUCUUCGGAUUGUAAACCCCUGUCAUGUGGGAGCAAAUUAAAAAGAUAGUACCCCAAGAGGAGGAGACGGCUAACUCUGUGCCAGCACCCGCGGUAAUACAGGGGUCUCAAGCGUUGUUCGGAAUCACUGGGCUUAAGGCGUGCGUAGGCUGUUUCGUAAGUCGUGUGUGAAAGGCGCGGGCUCAACCCGCGGACGGCACAUGAUACUGCGAGACUAGAGUAAUGGAGGGGGAACCGGAAUUCUCGGUGUAGCAGUGAAAUGCGUAGAUAUCGAGAGGAACACUCGUGGCGAAGGCGGGUUCCUGGACAUUAACUGACGCUGAGGCACGAAGGCCAGGGGAGCAAACAGGAUUAGAUACCCCUGUAGUC